GAUGAACGCUAGCGAUAGGCCUAACACAUGCAAGUCGAGGGGCAGCAUAAGGAAGUAGCAAUACUUUCUGGUGGCGACCGGCGCACGGGUGAGUAACACGUAUGCAACCUGCCUUCAACAAGGGGAUAACCCGUUGAAAGACGGACUAAUACCCUAUAACACAGGGGUCCCGCAUGGGAAUAUUUGUUAAAGGACAACCGGUUGAAGAUGGGCAUGCGUUCCAUUAGCUAGUUGGCGGGUAACGGCCCACCAAGGCAACGAUGGAUAGGGGAACUGAGAGGUUUAUCCCCCACACUGGUACUGAGACACGGACCAGACUCCUACGGGAGGCAGCAGUGAGGAAUAUUGGUCAAUGGACGCAAGUCUGAACCAGCCACGUCGCGUGAAGGAAGACGGCCCUACGGGUUGUAAACUUCUUUUAUACGGGAAUAAAGUGCCCCACGCGUGGGGUUUUGCAUGUACCGUA
This 466-nucleotide ribosomal RNA is filed under the name uncultured bacterium. RNAcentral describes it as "bacterial SSU rRNA". It matches the Rfam family "Bacterial small subunit ribosomal RNA", at positions 28 to 482 of the family's 1533-position model. The record is from RNAcentral.